CCUACGGGUGGCUGCAGUGAGGAAUAUUGGUCAAUGGGCGCGAGCCUGAACCAGCCAAGUAGCGUUAAGGAUGACUGCCCUACGGGUUGUAAACUUCUUUUAUAAAGGAAUAAAGUGAGGCACGUGUGCCUUUUUGUAUGUACUUUAUGAAUAAGGAUCGGCUAACUCCGUGCCCGCAGCCGCGGUAAUACGGAGGGGGCGGGCGUUGUCCGGAAUGACUGGGCGUAAAGGGAGGGUAGGCGGCUCUUUAAGUUAUAUGUGAAAUCCCGCGGCUCAACCGUGGAAGUGCAUAUAAAACUGGGGAGCUGGAGUGCAGGAGAGGUGAGUGGAAUUCCUAGUGUAGCGGUGGAAUGCGUAGAUAUUAGGAAGAACACCGGUGGCGAAGGCGGCUCACUGGACUGUAACUGACGCUGAGGCUCGAAAGCGUGGGGAGCAAACAGGAUUAGAUACCCUUGUAGUC
This 460-nucleotide ribosomal RNA is filed under the name uncultured bacterium. RNAcentral describes it as "partial 16S ribosomal RNA". It matches the Rfam family "Bacterial small subunit ribosomal RNA", at positions 338 to 795 of the family's 1533-position model. The record is from RNAcentral.